Molecule: ribosomal RNA, 482 nt
Filed under: uncultured bacterium
Lineage: Bacteria
Description: partial 16S ribosomal RNA
Rfam family: Bacterial small subunit ribosomal RNA
Source: RNAcentral
AUUGAACGCUGGCGGCAUGCCUUACACAUGCAAGUCGAACGGUAACGGGCCUUCGGGUGCCGACGAGUGGCGAACGGGUGAGUAAUACAUCGGAACGUGCCCGAUCGUGGGGGAUAACGAGGCGAAAGCUUUGCUAAUACCGCAUACGAUCUACGGAUGAAAGCAGGGGACCGCAAGGCCUUGCGCGGACGGAGCGGCCGAUGGCAGAUUAGGUAGUUGGUGGGAUAAAAGCUUACCAAGCCGACGAUCUGUAGCUGGUCUGAGAGGAUGAUCAGCCACACUGGGACUGAGACACGGCCCAGACUCCUACGGGAGGCAGCAGUGGGGAAUUUUGGACAAUGGGCGCAAGCCUUAUCCAGCCAUGCCGCGUGCAGGAUGAAGGCCUUCGGGUUGUAAACUGCUUUUGUACGGAACGAAAAGCCUUCUUUUAAUACAGGAGGGUCAUGACGGUACCGUAAGAAUAAGCACCGGCUAACUACGUG